Molecule: long non-coding RNA, 559 nt
Filed under: Astyanax mexicanus (Mexican tetra)
Lineage: Eukaryota; Metazoa; Chordata; Actinopteri; Characiformes; Acestrorhamphidae
Description: lncRNA (ENSAMXG00005022449.1)
Source: RNAcentral
GAUUCAGACAGGCUUAAUGUUUUAAACUUUUAAAGAUUUGAAAAUGUUACUGUAAUACUGCUAAAUGUUAAUAUAAUACAUAAUAUAUAGUCACAUAAUAACACUAAAAAGACAACAUUUAUAGUUAUGUUUCAUUGCUCUGCAAAGACGGUAAAAAUUGUUAAUAUUAUUAUAUUGUUAAUAUUAUUAUUAUUGUUAUUAUUAUAAGUUUUCUCUUUUAUCUAGCUUUUUUCCAGUGCAGCAUCACUAGAGAGCCGGUGUGCUUGAAGGAAAGUGCCAGAAAUUCAGCCCUGAUACAUCAGCCUGCAGAUGCCUGUGUCAGCCAGCAUCACAGUUCUUCUUGUGUAUGGUUGACCUAAGAUGCAGAGAUGGAAUAUGCAACUCAGGCGCACCCCAGUACCAGACACAAGACUCAUGCAGAAAAACAGCCAGCUGCUUCAGCUCACUUACUCAGUGCUUUGGCGAGCAGUGGUUGUUUCCGAUGCUUUAUCGAGGAGGCGUUAUCUAAGGUAUUUAAUAUGCACCCACAGCUGUUCAGCCUAUUCUCCCUAGUUACUCA